GAGGAGGAGCUUGCUCUUCAAAUCGAGUGGCGAACGGGUGAGUAACGCGUGAGGAACCUGCCUCAAAGAGGGGGACAACAGUUGGAAACGACUGCUAAUACCGCAUAAGCCCACGGCUCGGCAUCGAGCAGGGGGGGAAAGGAGCAAUCCGCUUUGAGAUGGCCUCGCGUCCGAUUAGCUAGUUGGUGAGGUAACGGCCCACCAAGGCGACGAUCGGUAGCCGGACUGAGAGGUUGAACGGCCACAUUGGGACUGAGACACGGCCCAGACUCCUACGGGAGGCAGCAGUGGGGAAUAUUGCACAAUGGGGGAAACCCUGAUGCAGCGACGCCGCGUGGAGGAAGAAGGUCUUCGGAUUGUAAACUCCUGUUGUUGAGGAAGAUAAUGACGGUACUCAACAAGGAAGUGACGGCUAACUACGUGCCAGCAGCCGCGGUAAAACGUAGGUCACAAGCGUUGUCCGGAAUUACUGGGUGUAAAGGGAGCGCAGGCGGGAGAACAAGUUGGAAGUGAAAUCCAUGGGCUCAACCCAUGAACUGCUUUCAAAACUGUUUUUCUUGAGUAGUGCAGAGGUAGGCGGAAUUCCCGGUGUAGCGGUGGAAUGCGUAGAUAUCGGGAGGAACACCAGUGGCGAAGGCGGCCUACUGGGCACCAACUGACGCUGAGGCUCGAAAGUGUGGGUAGCAAACAGGAUUAGAUACCCUGGUAGUCCACACCGUAAACGA
RNAcentral lists this ribosomal RNA (725 nucleotides) under uncultured bacterium. Its description in RNAcentral is "bacterial SSU rRNA". It matches the Rfam family "Bacterial small subunit ribosomal RNA", at positions 69 to 809 of the family's 1533-position model. The record is from RNAcentral.